This is an RNA transcript of Leptopilina heterotoma, 3899 nucleotides long. It is a transcript of the gene named nucleolar transcription factor 1-like, with no coding region annotated. The transcript has 2 exons. The record is from RefSeq and is a predicted model, not a curated record. Lineage: Eukaryota; Metazoa; Arthropoda; Insecta; Hymenoptera; Figitidae.
UCGUAAAGCAAAAUUGUAUAGCGCUGAUUCUUUGUGGAAUCUUAUAUAUAAAAUUGUCCAAAGCAAUGAACAAUUUAGGGUUGAUAAUUCAUUUACUGUAAUAGUAAAAAGCGUGAAAGAUAAUCGCGGUGGUGGGGGGAAAGCAAUGGUUUACAAUGAUAUUAACGUUCGUAAAAAAUCAUUGUUAACUAUUAACAAUAAAGAUAAUCUUUGUUUACCACGUGCUCUCGUAGCUGCGCAAGUUUACGCAGAACGUGGUUUGUUAAGAAAAGGUGAAUUACAUAAACGUUGGGAACUUGUCAGACACCCGGCUAGAUCACACCAGCUUGUACUAGCAAAAGAACUUGUACAAAAGGCAGGUAUAGUAAUACCUGAGGAAGGUUGUGGUAUGGCGGAAAUAAUUUCUUUUCAAAAAUAUUUGGCUCGUGAAAAAAUAGCUAUUUUCGUUCACGACUUUAAUAAUUUUGGACAAGCAACAAAACCUUUAUACUACAAUGGUACCCAUGAAAUUACAGAUAUUGGUGAAACUGUUAAAUUUAAUUUGCAUAUAAUGUUUUACCCUUUGCAAAAGCAUUAUAACGUGAUUUUAAAUUUAACAGGGUUAGCAAGUACUCAAUUUUUUUGCGUGCCAUGUAAUAAAAAAUUUAAAAACCCAAAUGGACACAAUUGUUUAAACAGAUGUACUUCUUGUUUAAAAUCUCCUGCUUGCAAAACAAAAGUUGAAGAUGACAAAAUUGUAGAAGUACAAUGUGAGUCAUGUAAACGAUUUUUUAAUGGUAUGAAAUGUUAUGAAAAUCAUACCACUAAAGGUUCGUUUACAUCGGAAAGUAGCGUUUGUGAGAAGCUACGUAUUUGUGAUGGUUGUGCACGUUUGAUUAAUCAUGGCACUGAAAAAAAUCAUGAAUGUGGUCGUUUCUUUUGCAAAACGUGUUUAUGUAAAAUGGAUUACAAUCAUGAUUGUUUUAUGGGUAGUCUGAAAGAUCAGGAGAGAAAAAAUGAGAAACCUACUAGUUUCGUUUUUUACGAUCUUGAAACACAACAGGGUCAAGAAAUGACAGGUGUACCCAACGUUAAUGUUCAUGUGCCUAAUCUGUGUGUAGUACAAAGAGUUUGUACAAGGUGUAUUAAUGAGACUAAUAUUAAUAUAAAUUGUGAAUUAUGUGGUAAUCGACAAAUUAUUUACCGUGGUUCAAAUGUUGUUUCAGAUUUUGUGAAUCUCGUCACAAAAAAACAAACAACUUUUGAAAGUGUCGUGUGUAUAGCACAUAAUGCUAAAGCGUUUGAUUCGCAAUUUAUAUUAAAAUAUUUAGUUGAGAAGACUGGUACGCAAACAAAACCUUCUGUAAUUAUGACAGGUACAAAUAUUAUACUAAUACAGGUUGGGCACACAAAAUUCAUAGACAGUUUAAAUUACCUCCACUUACCAUUGAGUGCGUUACCUGCUGCGUUCGGAUUCUCGGAUGUUGCAAUGAAAGGGACAUUUCCUCAUUUAUUCAACACCUUAGAGAAUAGCGAGUGCAGUAAUGGAGAAGGGUAUAUAGGCUGUAUACCUGAGGCCAAGUUUUACUCGCCAGACUCAAUGUCUAAAAAGAAGCGAGAGGAAUUUUACCUGUGGUAUAGAGAAAUGACAAAUGACAAAAAUUAUGUUUUUAAUUUUUGGAAGGAGUUAAUUGAUUAUUGCGUCAAUGACGUCACAAUUUUACGGUUAGCCUGUUUAUCUUUUAGAGAAAUUUUUUUCGAACGUGGUGGAUUUUGUCCAUUUACAAAAUGUGUCACAAUUGCUUCUGCGUGUAUGACACUGUUUAGAAAAAAAUUUUUAAGAAAAGACACAAUAGGUCUUCCUCCAAAUAAAGGAUAUCGUGUGUCAAAUAAUCAGUCGAAAAAAGCAAUUGAAUGGUUAUUUUGGUUAGAACACACGCUACGUAAGAACAUAGUACAUGCUGGAAAAUGCCGUGAAUACAGACUAAAAGAAGGCUUGCUUGUGAACGGAUACUACGAAGAGCAAGGUAACCGUCAUGUUUUACAAUUUCACGGUUGCUUCUAGCAUGGUUGUGUCAUUUGUUAUAAAUUGAAUAGAGAUGUAAAGCCCAGGAACGGAGAAAGCCCAUCUGUAAAAUAUGAACGGACACGUGUCCAAUCAUCAAAAAUAGAAGCAGCAGGUUAUGUAUUGACAGAAAUGUGGGAAUGCCAAUUCGAUGAAAUGAAAAAGGAUAAUUUAGAUUUAAAUAUUUUUUUGAAAAAUAAUAAAUUUAUUUACGAAGCACCUUUAAAUCCUAGAGAUGCCUUUUUGGUGGUCGAACAGGUAAUACUGUCUGUUUUUAUGAUGUAAAAGAUGGUGAAAAAAUAUCUUAUAUAGAUAUUUGUUCAUUAUAUCCUUAUAUUUGUAAAACAGGUAAGUUUCCCAUUGGUCAUCCCGAACUUUACAUAGGAGAAGAGUGUAAAAAGUUGAUGGGUGAUGACGUGUCAGAUGUAUCAAAACUUGAAGGUUUGAUAAAAUGUAUUGUUUUACCACCUCAAAACGAAUUUCAUCCGAUUCUCCCUGUACGCAUGCAUUCAAAACUCAUGUUCCCAUUGUGUCGAACAUGUUGUGAAAAUUUGCAACAAACAGAAUGUGAACAUGAACCAGAAUUUCGAGAAAUAAAAGGUACAUGGGUUUCGGAUGAAUUAAAAAAAGCUAUUGAGAAAGGUUAUAAACUUAUUAAAGUUUUUGAGGUUUGGCAAUACAAGACAACAAAAUAUGAUUGUCAAACCGGUCAAGGGGGGCUUUUUUUAGAGUAUAUAAACAUGUGGUUUAAGCUUAAACAAGAAGCUGGAGGUUGGCCUCGUGAAUGUGUUGACGAUGCGUCAAAAGAGCAAUAUUUGCAUGAACAUUUUAAGGUCGAAGGUGUGCAAUUAGAUAAAAAUAAAAUUGUAAAAAAUCCAGGUCUUAGAUCUGUUGCAAAAUUGUGUUUAAAUUCUUUUUGGGGAAAAUUUGGUCAAAGAGACAAUUUACCUCAAACGGAAAUUGUACAUGAGCAACAACGACUCAUGGAAUUAUUGUUUGAUUCGCAAAAAGUUGUUCAUAAUAUUUUACCAGUAAAUGAUGAAAUAUUGUAUGUAACUUUCUCGAGUCAAGAAGGUACAUCGCUAAUUACAGAGUAUACAAACGUUGUAUUAGCUGCGUAUGUAACAGCUCAAGCACGUUUGAAGCUCUAUUCAUACCUCGAGCGGUUAGACAAUCCUGUCUUGUAUUACGACACUGAUUCGUGUAUAUAUGUAAAUAGUGUUAAUAAUAAAAACGAAUAUCAACCCGAAAUUGGUAGUUUCUUGGGUCAAAUGACGGAUGAACUCGCUGUACAAUAUGGAGAGGGUAGUUAUAUAGAAAGCUUUGUUUCCGGUGGACCUAAAUUUUACGGGUAUAAAGUGAUUGAUUGCAAAGGUAACAUUCAUUAUACCUGUAAAGUUAAAGGUUUUACAUUAAAUUAUGAAAAUAGUGAAAAAAUAAAUUUUCAUAGUUUAAAAGAAAUGAUUGUCGAUAAAACUGUAAAUUCUCUGCAAACAUCUUCACGAGUUAUUCGACGAACGCCAUAUCAUGAAGUGAUAACAUGCACAGAAAACAAAGUGUGCAAACCUGUAAACAACAAACGCAGAUGCUUAGAAAAAUAUGACUCAGUACCGUAUGGGUUUAAAAACAGCACAUUAAAUUUAUAAAUAAAUAAACAAACUCCUAUUGUCGCAAAAAAUCCUUUUGAUCUUGACCUGUGGCAUAAUGUUAACAUCAACUUAUUACUGGGUGUAUGGCUACUACAAUCCGAUGAUUCUUCUGAAUAAUGAACCACAAAUGCAUUGUGCAACAGCAACUCAGUCGUCGUCGUCGUCAACAAUGUCAGAUCUGUAAAACGUUUAAAAUACUUGUAAAU